CGGGUACGUUAAUAGCGUAUUCGUUUGACGUUAGCGACAGAAGAAAGCACCGGCUAACUCCGUGCCAGCAGCCGCGGUAAUACGGAGGGUGCGAGCGUUAAUCGGAAUUACUGGGCGUAAAGCGCAUGCAGGUGGUUUGUUAAGUCAGAUGUGAAAGCCCGGGGCUCAACCUCGGAAUAGCAUUUGAAACUGGCAGACUAGAGUACUGUAGAGGGGGGUAGGAAUUUCAGGUGUAGCGGUGAAAAUGCGUAGAGAUCUGAAGGAAUACCGGUGGCGAAGGCGGCCCCCUGGACAGAUACUGACACUCAGAUGCGAAAGCGUGGGGAGCAAACAGGAUUAGAUACCCUGGUAG
This 352-nucleotide ribosomal RNA is filed under the name uncultured bacterium. RNAcentral's name for it is "bacterial SSU rRNA". It matches the Rfam family "Bacterial small subunit ribosomal RNA", at positions 445 to 793 of the family's 1533-position model. The record is from RNAcentral.